UCCACACUGCCAAGAAAAGCUUCUAGUGAGAAAGUAACUGCCCGUACCGCAAACCGACACAGGUAGUUGAGGAGAGAAUCCUAAGGUGUGCGAGAGAACUCUCGUUAAGGAACUCGGCAAAAUGACCCCGUAACUUCGGGAGAAGGGGUGCUGACCGCAAGGUCAGCCGCAGUGAAUAGGCCCAAGCGACUGUUUAUCAAAAACACAGGUCUCUGCAAAAUCGAAAGAUGACGUAUAGGGGCUGACGCCUGCCCGGUGCUGGAAGGUUAAGAGGAGAGGUUAGCGCAAGCGAAGCUUUGAAUUGAAGCCCCAGUAAACGGCGGCCGUAACGAUAACGGUCCUAAGGUAGCGAAAUUCCUUGUCGGGUAAGUUCCGACCCGCACGAAAGGCGUAACGAUUUGGGCACUGUCUCAACGAGAGACUCGGUGAAAUUAUAGUACCAGUGAAGAUGCUGGUUACCCGCGACAGGACGGAAAGACCCCAUGGAGCUUUACUGCAGUUUGAUAUUGCGUGUUUGUAUCACAUGUACAGGAUAGGUAGGAGCCGAAGAUACCGGGACGCCAGUCUCGGAGGAGGCAACGGUGGGAUACUACCCUUGUGAUAUGACCACUCUAACCCGCUGCUCUUAGCGAGCAGGGAGACAGUGUCAGACGGGCAGUUUGACUGGGGCGGUCGCCUCCAAAAAUGUAACGGAGGCGCCCAAAGGUCCCCUCAGAAUGGUUGGAAAUCAUUCGUAGAGUGUAAAGGCAGAAGGGAGCUUGACUGCGAGACCUACAAGUCGAGCAGGGACGAAAGUCGGGCUUAGUGAUCCGGUGGUUCCGCAUGGAAGGGCCAUCGCUCAACGGAUAAAAGCUACCCUGGGGAUAACAGGCUUAUCUCCCCCAAGAGUUCACAUCGACGGGGAGGUUUGGCACCUCGAUGUCGGCUCAUCGCAUCCUGGGGCUGUAGUCGGUCCCAAGGGUUGGGCUGUUCGCCCAUUAAAGCGGUACGCGAGCUGGGUUCAGAACGUCGUGAGACAGUUCGGUCCCUAUCCGUCGCGGGCGUUGGAAAUUUGAGAGGAGCUGUCCUUAGUACGAGAGGACCGGGAUGGACACACCGCUGGUGUACCAGUUGUUCUGCCAAGAGCAUCGCUGGGUAGCUAUGUGUGGACGGGAUAAACGCUGAAAGCAUCUAAGCGUGAAGCCCCCCUCAAGAUGAGAUUUCCCAUCACUUUAAGUGAGUAAGACCCCUGAGAGAUGAUCAGGUAGAUAGGUUGGGAGUGGAAGUACAGCGAUGUAUGGAGCGGACCAAUACUAAUCGGUCGAGGACUUAACCAA
RNAcentral lists this ribosomal RNA (1316 nucleotides) under metagenome. RNAcentral's name for it is "bacterial LSU rRNA". It matches the Rfam family "Bacterial large subunit ribosomal RNA", at positions 1599 to 2925 of the family's 2925-position model. The record is from RNAcentral.